Molecule: transfer-messenger RNA, 374 nt
Filed under: Dactylosporangium siamense
Lineage: Bacteria; Bacillati; Actinomycetota; Actinomycetes; Micromonosporales; Micromonosporaceae
Rfam family: transfer-messenger RNA
About the family: Bacterial tmRNA, also known as 10Sa RNA or SsrA, is named for its dual tRNA and mRNA-like properties.
Source: RNAcentral
GGGGGUGACUGGUUUCGACUUUGUGCGCCGCGCUAGGGGAAGCGAGUCGAGGAAGCCGACGUUGUCUCGUGAAUCAGUCGUCGGAAAGUUAUAAGCGCCAAUCUUAAGCGCUCCGAUCUCGCUCUUGCUGCCUAAGCAGGAGUAGCAGAUCUGUCGGUCCGGGUUCGCCUUCGACCCGAUCACCGGCAUCAGCUAGAAGGCUGGCCAACCGAGUCCUGUCGCGGGGCUCGUGCGGCGAGAUCAAUCGCGACUGGACCCGUCAUACCGACUCGCUCGCAUGAUCGGUAGGGCCGAGUAGAGGCACAGCGAGCUGCGCUCGGAGAAGCCCUAGCAAAGCAACGAAGGACCCGGGUUCGAUUCCCGGCACCUCCACC